CUAAGGCGGUGUGGCUAUUGUACAUCUACCUGAUCGGAUUUCCAGGCACUCAGCAAAUCCUUCUGUGGAUAAAAUGGAAAAAGGUGAUGGACCUCCUCCAUAUACUGCAGCUACUCCAGAAAUUUUAGCUCAGCCAUAUCCUGGUCCACCACUGAACUCCGGUGCGGCCCAACAGCUUGCUGUUCCUCAGUAUCAGCAACCUGUUGCUCAGCAAUAUCCCCAGCCUGUUGCUCAGCAGCAUCAGCAACCUGCUCCUCAACAAAUAGUUGUACAGCAAAAUCAGACUACUCAACCUGCAACCCCUGUGGUGGUGGUGCAAGCGAGACCAACUGAGGCUCCUGGAAGCAUGUUGUGUCCACACUGUAAGACCACCGUUGUGAGCACAACCGAAUACAAAUUGGGCAUGCUCACCUGGAUCAUUGUUGGAGCAUUGUUUUUUAUUGGGUGUUGGCCUUGCUGUUUGAUCCCGUUUUUCGUGGGUGCUUGCAAGGAUGUGCAGCAUUCCUGCCCGCAGUGCAACAACGUUCUGCACGUCUACCGUCGCAUGUGAACCACAGUGGUCAAUCAUGCAGCUACUGAAAUUUUUUUGGCUCUAUUCAUUAAGGUCUUCCUACACUGUACAAAGUUCUUUUUGAGCCUAUUGGAGAGCUGCACUGUAUUACUACAAUUCCCAAAGUCUGCAAGAAUUGACGCUGUCAUAGAAAUAACACCUCUGAACUUCCUAAAAAAUUUUUUAGGGAGUGUCUUGAUCAGUUCAUCAUUGGUAAAUACAUAGAGUGACUGACAUAUCACCCCUUAUAGUCCAAAACUAGGCUCUGCCUUUGUCAAGUUAACUGAAGACUCUUGCCUUGUGUGAUUUUGUUUAAAGAUAAUAUUGUUCAUCUUCUCAUUAGAAAUUUUGUUUCUUUAAGUAGAAGAGACAAAACUGUGACAGCCAAAAACUUGUAAACUGUAGUGUUUACCUGGAAAGACCUGUGUGUGUAUGUGGGCUUGUAUUGGACACAUGUUUUACCAUAAAAAUAUUACAUUACUUUAUACGACUAAAUGUAAUGACAUAAUAAACAUAAUGAAACAUAAUACAUUCCUCAGAGAGCUUUAUGCUGAAAUGUUCCAUGCAUUCCUUUGAAAAAUGAUCAACUACUCAGUCAAUUGUUGUGGCAUGACUGGCAGACAUCAGAUCGAUUCUGUUAUGUGAUAAAAAAAAAAAAAAAGAUAUUAAUAUGGAGCCUCAUGAGGCACAGGGCUACAUUUUGUCCCUGGAAGGAGACAGGGUUACUCUGGUUAACUGAAGAUGUAAAACUGAUGCAUGUAAGAUUGCAGCCAGGUUGAAGCAAAUAAAUAGAUAAUCCUGUCAUCAGUGAUCAGUAUAGAGCUUUUGUUUUAGUAGCCCCAAACUACAAUUUACUUCAUUUAAUAUUUAGCCUAACACCAUAAGAAAAAUCAUGUCAACAAGAGAAAAAGAAUAGUUGUAGUUUUUUCAGACAUUUAAAAUUUUACAUUAUGGCUGGAUGUCACUAUCAAGUGGCCAGAUGCAACACCCACUCUCUUUGUAUUCAGAAUACGUGGGUCCUCUGGUUGCAAAGAAAAUGGAUAUAUGAAGAAUAAAAAAGUGGUUUACAAAGUACUAAACUCCAAUACUCAGCUCAGGAGUGUAGAAGUAUUGGAUAUAACGAGAAUGCAAAAUUUCAUGCAAUUUAAGACUGCUUCAGAAAUCUGCAAAGAAUUUCCUCUUUAUUCACUUCCGAUGAAGACAAAGGUU
This is a long non-coding RNA of Xiphophorus maculatus (southern platyfish), 1759 nucleotides long. RefSeq lists it as uncharacterized. Lineage: Eukaryota; Metazoa; Chordata; Actinopteri; Cyprinodontiformes; Poeciliidae. The record is from RefSeq and is a predicted model, not a curated record. The transcript has 4 exons.